UACGGGCUUAAGCCAGCCGGCCCAAAAAACGUCCCAGUUUGCGAAGUUGCCAGAUCGCGAAAUCCUAAUGUCUCGCUUCUCAGCGGAGGGCGAUGCUCUGCAGGGCCUUAUGGGACUGAAACGGUUUUUGUUGGAUAUCAAAUCCACAAAAGGCGUGUUAACUUGUAGCCCCUCAAAAAAAUGAUCUUUCUGCCAAUGCGGUUCUUUCAAGGCAGUAAGAUGAUUUUUCCGACAUGUCACAUUUACGUUAUGAUUUUUCAAAAAAAUUACUUUGGGGGGAACCAAUAGCGAUUAGCCUGCCCUCACGUGACGUCUGUGUUACACGACUCGUUGAGUUGGGCAAGGUUGGGCAGUCGUGUGUGUUAAGAGCGUCUCAAAAGUUGGCUAAACAGCAGUUCGACCUUUUUUAGAGUUUAUUUUGAUGUACAAUUAAGACUAGCAACGUGGCAGCCUUGAGUUUUAGCAGACUACGAAGUCUCGGCUGUGAGCUGUCAGAAACAGUGACAAAACAGUGUCGACUGUCGAGUCCAGAUUUGUAAUGCGAUCAAAUUCGGACUUUUCUCAUAUAUUUUGGAUUUGGUUUACAUUACACCCAAUAUAAUAGAAAAUGACCAAAACUUGUUUUGUUUUGUCAUUGUCAUAUUUGAAUUGCUAUUGCACACCCCAAACCAACCAUAACAUGUGGGUAAAUAGGUUCUACCUUUUCAAUGGCAUGAUUGGAUUUAACAACUAGUAUGUCAUGUACUUUAGGGUGAAAUUGAACCACUGGGGGAGAAAUCAUCUUUAUGGAAUAUUGCUAAAUAAGUUAGGUACAAUAAUAAAAAUGAUUAUAUCAGCAAAUGAUGCAUCAAACAUAAAAUUAAUUUUUACCAUUGAAAGUGCCUCUUCAAUUUCAUCUCUAAGAAUUUCUUUGCUUGUAGUUACAGUGUUUACUCGAAUGAUUGUGAAGUGUGAAGCAGUCUUUAAAUGUUUCACUAACAUUUCUUUUAAAAUGGGUUUUUCAUGUUCAUUCUUCAAUUCAGACAUACACAAUAUAAAUUCCAUGCUAAUUAA
Molecule: long non-coding RNA, 1053 nt
Organism: Daphnia pulex (common water flea)
Lineage: Eukaryota; Metazoa; Arthropoda; Branchiopoda; Diplostraca; Daphniidae
Exons: 2
Source: RefSeq, a predicted model, not a curated record